UACGAGGGGGGCGAGCGUUGUUCGGAAUUAUUGGGCGUAAAGGGUGCGUAGGCGGCCUGACAAGUCUGAUGUGAAAUCCCUGGGCUCAACCCAGGGCCUGCAUCGGAAACUGUCGGGCUUGAGUAUGGGAGAGGUGAGUGGAAUUUCCGGUGUAGCGGUGAAAUGCGUAGAUAUCGGAAGGAACGCCGGUGGCGAAAGCGACGUGCUGGACCUCUUCUGACGCUGAGGCGCGAAAGCUAGGGGAGCAAACGGG
This 253-nucleotide ribosomal RNA is filed under the name uncultured bacterium. RNAcentral describes it as "partial 16S ribosomal RNA". It matches the Rfam family "Bacterial small subunit ribosomal RNA", at positions 524 to 776 of the family's 1533-position model. The record is from RNAcentral.